AAGAGAGGAACCAAUGCUGUCUGCAGGAGCCACAGGGGCAGAGCAGGGCCUGCUCAACUGUCCAGACAGGCAGGUCUGUAAGAACGAGGAGAAUAACAAAACCAACAUUUAUAUAGCAUACAGCGAAGUGCUAUUUGUGCAUAUUGCAUUUAAGAGGCUAGUACAAGUCUCAUUCAUUCCUUUUUUUUGCAGAUGAGGAAACAGACUUUGAGAGGUAAAAUAACACGACGGAAUCUAUGCACUACCUGAUGGCUGAGCUGGGACUUAUCCCCAGGUCCAGUGGCCUCUAGAGCACAGGUGUGUUACUACCACCCCAUUCUGCCCAAGUGAAGCAAGCAGCAGAGAAAUAAUAUGCAGGUUUGCUUUCCAAGGAACCCAAAUGAAGAUAGAAUGACUCAAAGAGAAGAUGUAUAGAAGUACUUACAGCAUGUGGCACAUGGUCUCUGUGCCUGGGCACCAAGCAGACUGUGGUAUCAAUUACAGUGGACCCUGUGCAUCCCUCAGCCAUCCAGGCAGGUGCAGACACUCCUCAGGCUAGGGAUAGCCUCAGGAGACUGACUCAGCCAGAAGGUUGCCCUGGAGAAGACCAGGUAGUCCCUGUUGGCAUGCUCAGAGGACGUGUAGAUCUCUC
RNAcentral lists this long non-coding RNA (631 nucleotides) under Homo sapiens (human). Its description in RNAcentral is "non-protein coding lnc-OARD1-1:10". Lineage: Eukaryota; Metazoa; Chordata; Mammalia; Primates; Hominidae. The record is from RNAcentral.